GAUGAGGUACUUUCCGUUUUAGUCUGUUCCAAAAUAAAUGACACAUUUCUUAAUUUAAAAAUAAUUCAAUUUUAAACUCUUCAUUUUACCCUCAAUGAGAAACUUUUAUAAUCACACAAAUGUUGUGGCCCCACAAAGCUUUUACCCCUAAAGCUUUUAAGACCACAAGUUUCAGAAGUCUUCUUUUUUUUCCUUAAACUCUGUGCCGAGUCAAACUACCUCAUCUAAAUUGAAACGGAGGGAGUAGUAUGCAAGCCGUAGAAACAUCCACAUAUUAUCAGAUUACCUCAAACAUCAUGCUCAAGAGUCCAGCUAUUGCGGCUUUCGGGUAUUUCUCAUAGUGUUCCACCCAAUGCUUGACCACUAGAGGAAUUAGUCUCCUAUCACCUUU
RNAcentral lists this long non-coding RNA (391 nucleotides) under Nicotiana benthamiana. Its description in RNAcentral is "long non-coding RNA (NBEN_LNC002348)". Lineage: Eukaryota; Viridiplantae; Streptophyta; Magnoliopsida; Solanales; Solanaceae. The record is from RNAcentral.